GAGGGAGGGUGCUUGGUGGCUUAGUUGGUUAAGCAUCUGAAUCUUGAUGUCAGCUCAGGUCAUGAUCUAAGGGUUGUGGGAUCGAGCCCUGUGUCUGGUUCCACAUUCAGUGGGGAGUCUGCUUGAGGAUUCUUUCCCUCUCUUUCUCCCUCUGCCCCUCCAUGCCUCUCCCACUCCACUCCCUCUCCAAAAAAAAAAACUUUAAAAACUAUUUUUUAAAAAAAAUUUUUGAACAGAAAAUUGGAGGAAAUAAUAUAACACCUGUCACCAACAUUUAGUAACUUAUAUUUCCCUAUAUUCCCUUCAUUAUUGUUUUGCUUUCCACCAAGUAUUUACAGUAAAUUAGAUACGAGAAAAACUUCACCCCUGAAGUAUGAUUCUGAAGAAUAAGGGCAUCUUCCUACAUAACUGCAGCUCAGAGUUUCAAUAAUACUAAGUUUUUGGUUUUGGUUUUUUUUUAAGAUUAUUUAUUCAUGAGAGACACAGAGAGAGAGGCAGAGACACAGGCAGAGAGAGAAGCAGGCUCCGUGCAGGGAGCCCAACAUGUUACUCCAUCUUAGAUCCCGGGAUCACACCCCGAGCCAAAGGCAGACACUCAAUCACUGAGCCACCCAGUGUCCCCAAUAAUACUAAGUUAAUGAUAAUUUCGUAAUAUAGGAUAAUCGGCUCACAUGCAGUUUUGCCCAAUUGUCCCCAAGAUGGGUCUUUGUUCAAAUCAGGGUAAACCCGGGAUCACACAUGCACUUGGUUGCAAUCAUCUGUCAGACCUCUUUCAGCCUGGAAUGGCUGUCACAACAGCCUGUGGAGGCACCAGCUGUCCUGCAGAAAACUCCUUCCAGAUUCAGCCUUUGCUUCCUCCUGGUGUCAUCCGGCUUGCUCCUCCAUCCCCUAAAUUUCUUGUACACUGGAAGUUAGUUGUAAAGCUUCAUAGAUUCAGGCUCAGCCUCUGGGGCAAGAACACCUAAGAGGUGAGGCUCAGUAGAGCCUUUUUUAUUUUUUUCAUUUUGUUUUUUAUUUGAAAGAGAGAGAGAACAUGAGCAGGGGAGAGGCAGAGAGAGAAGCAGAUUCCCUGCUGAGCAGGGAGCCCAACACGGGGCUUGAUCUCGAUCUCGGGACCCUGAGAUCAGGACCUGAGCUGAAGGCAGGCGCUUUGCCCACUGAGCCACCUGGGCAUCCCUCAGGAAGGCCAGGACUGUGGGGCGCCCAGACUACAAGUGCACGCAAAUCUCCCGCUUCUGCUUAGAAAGCUCAUUCUGCUUCAGCAAGGCUGGUCUGGGCAGUGAGGCUGGGCUGCUGGUCCAAGGGCGGGGAGCAGGGGACAUCUCCAAGGUCACCCACUCCUGGGCUCCUGUGGGCUGGGAGGUGGGCGUGGCAUCAGGACCAGGCAGGAGACAGUCAUAAAUGUCACACUCUUUGCGUCUCUAGGGAUGCUCCAGGCAAUGGCUUGUCCCAAAGUGCCAGAACAUUCUGACCAGCCAGAGACCUUAGGAUCUCAGAGAGAGAGAGAAUACUCGGCGGGGGUGGUGGCCUCAGAUGCCCCCCCUGGACUGCGCCCCCAAGUCUUGGCCUGGAGGGCCCUGAGGGCCUGGCCAGAGGCACUGAAGUGGGAGAGGAAGGAAGCAGGGAGCAGAGGAGGCCAAGACUGCCGCCUCCCAGCCUCAAGAGGGGCCUGGAGUAAACAGGAAGGCCUGGCGGCUCCACGGUGGGGGGGCUUCGGAGGGGUGGGGGCUAGGGCCCUACUGCACAUGUGCAGCCUGUGAGCUCAGGGCUUCCUUAUGGGGGAAGCUGACCCAGGGAGGUUGUAUGACUUGCCCCAGGCCACACAGCAAGGCAGGGGUACUGGGCUAGACCCUCACCUGCUUCUCCUGCUUCUGCCCCCUUCUCAGUCCUCUGGUGCAGUGUCUCCUGCCUGUGUUGCCCUCUACGGUUCAAGGAGUGCUGGGUGAGUCUCUCUCCUCCGUGGGCCUCACCUUUUUUUCUAUGCACUCUGAGACUUACAACUUAGAGGUUCUAGAAUCCUGACCCAGUGAAUUCUCCUGCCUCCUAGGUGGUCAUCAAGGGUUCUUUGGACCCUAGGGAGCAGAUUUCGUCAGAAAGGCCAACAUUCAGGAGGCAGCAGGUACCUGUCCUUGGGGAAUGAGAAGGAGAAUCUGAGGGACUUCUCUCUUCUAGAACAGAGCAGAGUCUGGCAGUACCACUGACCCUCGUGACCACCAUGUCCCCAUGGAGAAAAUUCUCCCUCUCAGAGACCCUGUCCUUGGGCUCAGAAUGCCUCCAACACCCACACCCUGAGGCCUCAGAAUCACAACCUUGAGCUGCAACCUUGAGCUGCUAGCCCAUUCAUUUAUUUUAUCAGUACUUCUCAAACACCUCCCACAGGCCAGGCACUAUUUGAAGUGAUGGGUAUUGGGCAGUGAACAAAGCAAGGCCCGUGCCCUCAUGGAACUUCUAGAGGUGGAGACAGACAAAACAACAAAACAAAAACAAAAACAAACACACACAAUAUAUAGCGUGUCAGAUGGAGAAUAAUUGCUGAUGUGGGGAGGGGGCUAUUUUGAAUGCCAUGGUCAGGGAAGUCCUCACUGACCAUGGGACAUUUGAUCUGUGACUUAAAGCCCUGUGGUUAUCUAGGGGAAGAGGGACUGGCAAGUGCAAAGGCCCUGGGGUGUGUGUGUGCCUGGCACAUUCCAGGAACAGCAAGGAGGCCAGUUUGGCUGGAGUUUGGGGAACAAGAUAGAGCAGAGCAGAAGGCGAGGUUGGAGAUGGGACAGGUGAAACCUAGCUGGCCAUUUGAGGGGCUCUGGCUUUUACACUGAGUGAGAUGGAGACCCAAGAUGGGUGCUGAGCAGGAGGAUGGAACUUGGCUCAACUUUAACUGCCUCCCUUUACUGUGUGCAGAAUGGGCUGGGGUAAGCGUGGCAGGAAGGAAACUCUGUAAGGAGGUGACUGCAAUAUUCUAGGAGGUGCUGGUGGUGGCCAGGGUGGUAGCUGUGGUGGGACCCCACGAACACUGGGAAAUUGGGUGAGCCACCGACAAGAUUCGCUUGUAGGUUGGAUGGGCAGGGGGAGUGAGAGUCAACAUCCACCUCAGGUCUUGAGCAAUGAGAGGAGGGAAUCUGUUAUGGUCUCAGAUGGAGACACUGAGGCAGGAGGGGUUGGCAGAAGAACCAACAGCAUGUGGUUUGAGAUGCAUGACGUCUGAGCUGCUUAUUUGACGUCCAGGAGCCUGGAGCCUGGGGGAGAGUUCUGGCUGGAAGUAGAAAGCCAUCAGUAUAUAGAGAUGGUACUUAAAGCCAUUUACUUGGAUGAGGGCACCCAGAACAGCACUUCUCAAAUUUAAAGUGUCCACGGAUGCCCGGGGGGUCUUGAGAAAAAUGCAGGCUCUGAGCCAGCAAGUCUCUGGGUCAGAGCUGGAGAGAAGCUCUCGGGAGAUCCUAAGCCCACACUUGGAGUGGCAGGGAACUAAGGCAUGGUAUUUUAUGGCCAAGACCCACUGGUGGGUCAUGAAAUCAAUAGAGUGGCUUGUGAUCAGUAUUUGAAAGGAAACGAGACAAGAGGGAUAAGCAUCAUAAGGGCAUAUAUACACGUCCACAAAACAUUGCAACUGUCGGAGCCCAAGUCCCAGGGUUUGUGUUGGGACACAACUGCAUGGUCUCAAAGGUUUGUGAAACCCUGGCCUGGGGAGCGCCUGGGUGGCUCAGUGGUUAAGUGUCUGCCUUUGGCUCAGGGCAUGAUCCCGGGAUCCGGGAUCGAGUCCCACUUCGGGCUCCUUGCGGGGAGCCUGUUUCUCCUUCUGCCUGUGUCUCUGCCUCUCUCUGUGUGUCUCAUAAA
This 3831-nucleotide long non-coding RNA is filed under the name Canis lupus familiaris (dog). Its description in RNAcentral is "lncRNA (ENSCAFG00000056071.1, ENSCAFG00845005312.1)". Lineage: Eukaryota; Metazoa; Chordata; Mammalia; Carnivora; Canidae. The record is from RNAcentral.